This 497-nucleotide ribosomal RNA is filed under the name uncultured bacterium. Its description in RNAcentral is "partial 16S ribosomal RNA". It matches the Rfam family "Bacterial small subunit ribosomal RNA", at positions 28 to 507 of the family's 1533-position model. The record is from RNAcentral.
GACGAACGCUGGCGGCGUGCCUAAUACAUGCAAGUUGAGCGCUGAAGGUUGGUACUUGUACCAACUGGAUUAGCAGCGAACGGGUGAGUAACGCGUGGGGAAUCUGCCUUUGAGCGGGGGACAACAUUUGGAAACGAAUGCUAAUACCGCAUAAAAACUUUAAACACAAGUUUUAAGUUUGAAAGAUGCAAUUGCAUCACUCAAAGAUGAUCCCGCGUUGUAUUAGCUAGUUGGUGAGGUAAAGGCUCACCAAGGCGAUGAUACAUAGCCGACCUGAGAGGGUGAUCGGCCACAUUGGGACUGAGACACGGCCCAAACUCCUACGGGAGGCAGCAGUAGGGAAUCUUCGGCAAUGGACGAAAGUCUGACCGAGAAACGCCGCGUGAGUGAAGAAGGUUUUCGGAUCGUAAAAAUCUGUUGGUAGAGAAGAACGUUAGUGAGAGUGGAAAGCUCAUCAAGUGACGGUAACUACCCAGAAAGGGACGGCUAACUACGUG